GGGCGCUUAGCUCAGCUGGUUAGAGCGCAUGCUUCACACGCAUGAGGUCACAGGUUCGAGUCCUGCAGUGCCCACCA
This 77-nucleotide transfer RNA is filed under the name Clostridiaceae bacterium. RNAcentral's name for it is "tRNA-Val". It matches the Rfam family "tRNA". Rfam says of the family: Transfer RNA (tRNA) molecules are approximately 80 nucleotides in length. Lineage: Bacteria; Bacillati; Bacillota; Clostridia; Eubacteriales; Clostridiaceae. The record is from RNAcentral.